Molecule: ribosomal RNA, 425 nt
Filed under: uncultured bacterium
Lineage: Bacteria
Description: partial 16S ribosomal RNA
Rfam family: Bacterial small subunit ribosomal RNA
Source: RNAcentral
GUGGGGAAUAUUGGACAAUGGGCGAAAGCCUGAUCCAGCAAUGCCGCGUGAGUGAUGAAGGCCUUAGGGUUGUAAAGCUCUUUUACCAGGGAUGAUAAUGACAGUACCUGGAGAAUAAGCUCCGGCUAACUCCGUGCCAGCAGCCGCGGUAAUACGGAGGGAGCUAGCGUUGUUCGGAAUUACUGGGCGUAAAGCGCACGUAGGCGGUUACUCAAGUCAGAGGUGAAAGCCCGGGGCUCAACCCCGGAACUGCCUUUGAAACUAGGUAGCUAGAAUCCUGGAGAGGUGAGUGGAAUUCCGAGUGUAGAGGUGAAAUUCGUAGAUAUUCGGAAGAACACCAGUGGCGAAGGCGGCUCACUGGACAGGUAUUGACGCUGAGGUGCGAAAGCGUGGGGAGCAAACAGGAUUAGAUACCCCAGUAGUCC